Molecule: ribosomal RNA, 598 nt
Filed under: marine metagenome
Description: bacterial SSU rRNA
Rfam family: Archaeal small subunit ribosomal RNA
Source: RNAcentral
CCAUGUUUAUUGGGCCUAAAGCGUUCGUAGCCGGUUUGAUAACUUUCUUGUGAAAUUGUUCAGCUUAACUGAUCAACGUGCAAGAAAAACUGUCAAACUUGGAACCGGUAGGGGAUAGAGGUAUUUCAAGGGGAGCGGUAAAAUGCUAUAAUCCUUGGAGGACCACCGAUGGCGAAGGCAUCUAUCCAGGACGGAUUCGACGGUCAGGAACGAAGGCUAGGGGAGCAAAACGGAUUAGAUACCCGAGUAGUCCUAGCUGUAAACGCUGUGAGCUGAGUGUUGCAUUUUCUUCGUGAAUGUGCAGCGCUUAAGUGAAGAUGUUAAGCUCACCGCCUGGGAAGUAUAGUCGCAAGACCGAAACUUAAAGGAAUUGGCGGGGGCUCGCUACAAGGAGUGCGGCGUGCGGUUUAAUCUAACUAUACGCAGAGAAUCUCACCAGCAGCGACGGCAGAAUGAAGGUCAGAUUGAAGGUUUUACCUAACAAGCCGAGAGGUGGUGCAUGGCCGCCGUCAGUUCGUGCCGUAAGGUGUUACGUUAAGUCGUAAAACGAACGAGACCCAUGCCCAUAUUUGCUAACAUUUCCUCAGGGAAGAAUGAG